CCUACGGGGGGCAGCAGUGGGGAAUAUUUUGCAAUUGGCGCAAGCCUGACCCAGCAACGCCGCGUGAAGGAAGAAGGCUUUCGGGUUGUAAACUUCUUUUCUCAGGGACGAAGAAAGUGACGGUACCUGAGGAAUAAGCCACGGCUAACUACGUGCCCGCAGCCGCGGUAAUACGUAGGUGGCAAGCGUUAUCCGGAUUUACUGGGUGUAAAGGGCGUGUAGGCGGGACUGAAAGUCAGAUGUAAACACCACGGGCUCAAAC
RNAcentral lists this ribosomal RNA (262 nucleotides) under uncultured bacterium. RNAcentral's name for it is "partial 16S ribosomal RNA". It matches the Rfam family "Bacterial small subunit ribosomal RNA", at positions 338 to 614 of the family's 1533-position model. The record is from RNAcentral.